GAGGGGAUAGCUCAAGUAGCAUGGCACAUGCUUAGCACGCAUGAGGUCCUGGGUUCAAUCCCCAGUACCUCCU
Molecule: transfer RNA, 73 nt
Filed under: Camelus bactrianus (Bactrian camel)
Lineage: Eukaryota; Metazoa; Chordata; Mammalia; Artiodactyla; Camelidae
Also listed under: 2 other names
Rfam family: tRNA
About the family: Transfer RNA (tRNA) molecules are approximately 80 nucleotides in length.
Source: Rfam by way of RNAcentral